RNAcentral lists this ribosomal RNA (778 nucleotides) under uncultured bacterium. Its description in RNAcentral is "bacterial SSU rRNA". It matches the Rfam family "Bacterial small subunit ribosomal RNA", at positions 8 to 796 of the family's 1533-position model. The record is from RNAcentral.
AGAGUUUGAUCCUGGCUCAGGAUAAACGCUGGCGGCGUGCCUAACACAUGCAAGUCGAACGCGCACGAAGGGGAAACUCAGCGUGUGAGUGGCGGACGGGUGAGUAACACGUGGGUACCUGCCCUGUGGUGAGGAAUACCGGCGAGAAAUCGCUGACAAGACCGCAUAGGUAUGGGGAGAAGAUCCGCAUACAAAGCUUGGGGGAAACCCCGGGUGCCAUGGGAGGGGCCUGCGGCCGAUUAGGCUAGUUGGUGAGGUAAGAGCCCACCAAGGCGACGAUCGGUAGCUGGUCUGAGAGGAUGAUCAGCCACACUGGGAUUGAGAGCGGCCCAGACUCCUACGGGGGGCAGCAGUGAGGAAUUUUCGUCAAUGGGGGAAACCCUGAACGAGCAACGCCGCGUGCAGGAAGAAGGUUUUCGGAUCGUAAACUGCAAAUCUCUGGGAAGAGCAAAGGACGGUACCAGAGGAGAAGCCCCGGCUAACUGCGUGCCAGCAGCCGCGGUAAUACGUAGGGGGCGAGCGUUGUCCGGAGUUACUGGGCGUAAAGGGCACGCAGGCGGUCUGCUACGUUCGGAGUGACAGUUGUCAGCUUAACUGACAAAGGACUUCGAAAACGGGUGGACUUGAGGCCUUGGGAGGGAGACGGAAUUCCGGGUGGAGCGGUGAAAUGCGUAGAGAUCCGGAGGAACACCGAAGGCGAAGGCAGUCUCCUGGCAAGGUCCUGACGCUCAGGUGCGAAAGCUAGGGGAGCGAACAGGAUUAGAUACCCUAGUAGUCC